This 165-nucleotide ribosomal RNA is filed under the name uncultured bacterium. RNAcentral describes it as "partial 16S rRNA". It matches the Rfam family "Bacterial small subunit ribosomal RNA", at positions 355 to 511 of the family's 1533-position model. The record is from RNAcentral.
UAGGGAAUCUUCCACAAUGGACGCAAGUCUGAUGGAGCAACGCCGCGUGAGUUGAAGAAGGUCUUCGGAUCGUAAAACUCUGUUGUUAGAGAAGAACACGAGUGAGAGUAACUGUUCAUUCGAUGACGGUAUCUAACCAGCAAGUCACGGCUAACUACGUGCUAG